RNAcentral lists this unclassified non-coding RNA (1753 nucleotides) under uncultured fungus. Its description in RNAcentral is "sequence contains 18S rRNA gene, ITS1, 5.8S rRNA gene, ITS2, 28S rRNA gene". The stretch from base 713 to 1753 matches the Rfam family "Eukaryotic large subunit ribosomal RNA", at positions 1 to 961 of the family's 3401-position model. The record is from RNAcentral. Lineage: Eukaryota; Fungi.
GGAAGGAUCAUUCCCAAUUAAAAACUUAACAACCGUGUAACCUUAAAGUUAACCAAACCAUUCAAUGAAGAUGAGUUUUUCAUUUUUGGAUGAGAUCAAUUUUUUUCAGAAUGACUUUGGUGCAAUUUUCAUCAUGCAUAUAAUUGUUGGGUUAUAUGUUCAUUUUUUCUUUACAACUAUAUUGAAAACUGUACCUUUGUGUACUUUUUAUAAACGAACAGCUAUAAGCGGUGGAUACCUUGGCUACCACAACGAUGAAGAACGCAGCAAAGCGCGAUAGUAAUUGCGAAUUGCAGAAUUCAGUGAAUCAUCGUAACUUUGAACGCAUUGCGCUCUUGGGAAACCUUGAGCAUGCUAAUUUGAGUGUCGGAAAAACCUAAAUGAGAUGUCCAAAGGGAACAAGUUCCUAAAAUUUCUUUUGUUUGGAAUUCUCAAGAGACAUUGGUUUCUUGAGUGAAGAAGAAUAGCUGAAAUAAUCUGGGCUUUUCUUUGGUCUCUUCAAGUAUGCAAGGUGUAAAACAUUAACCUUUUGAACCUUCAAACAAAGGUUAUGGCUGUGUAGUAACGAUAAUUGAUGCUAUCACGGAUAGUUUUCUGAUUAAAGUGCUCAGUUUGUAAUUUUGAAGUCAAGAGUGUAUUUGUGAUUAAGCUAGGAGAGGUUUUUAUUCUCUCACUUUAUUUGUGCAAGAGAUUGAACAAUUUUUUUCAUUCAAGACCUCAUCUUAGUAAGACAACCCCCUGAAUUUAAGCAUAUUAGUAUGGGGAGGAAAAGAAACUAACAAGGAUUCCCUUAGUAACGGCGAGUGAAACGGGAGUAGCUCAUCCUGAAAAUCGUAGUUUGUUUCAAACUACGAAUUGUGGGGUAUGGAAACGCUCUCAGCGUGUGGCCUCGGUCUAAGUCUGCUGGAAAGCAGCUGUCGGAGAGGGUGAGAACCCCGUCUGUGAUUGGGAGUCCGCCGCGUACGAGACGUUCUCUAAGAGUCGGGUUGCUUGGGAUUGCAGCCUUAAAUGGGAGGUGAAUUCCUUCUAAAGCUAAAUACAUGUGGUAGACCGAUAGCAUACAAAGUACCGUAAGGGAACGGUGAAAAGGACUUUGAAAAGAGAGUCAAAAGUACUUGAAACCGCUUAUAGUCAAGGGAUAAGAACUAUUGCAUCGAGUCGUUGAAUAAACCUGUGCUGGUUGGAAUGCUUCGGAUUUCGUUAGUCGGUUCUUUUGGGAGCCGUAAUGGGUUUGUUGUGUGAAAAUCAGAACGGGGGUCUUUGACGCGGGUAGCUAAGGUGCAUUUGAUGUUGUGACAAUAACUUCCAAGCGGUGGUAGAGUGGAGUCCAAAUAUCUUUUUGGAUGAAGCUCGAAUGACGCAUGGAUGGCGAACUCACAGAUUGGAUGCUUUACAACUUGGCGAAAUGGUUCUUAUUAUCCCGUCUUGAAACACGGACCAAGGAGUGUAACGUGUGUGCGAGUGUUAGGGUGUGAAACCCGAGUGCGAAAUGAAAGUGAAUGCUUGGAUUACCGAGCAGAGGUGUUAAUCUGUUCUCUGGAAUGGAGUCCGCACCGCCCAGCCUUUCCCUAGUGUUAGGCUCGAGGACGAGCACAUCCGUUGCGACCCGAAAGAUGGUGAACUAUACCUGAGGCAGGAUGAAGCCAGGGGAAACUCUGGUGGAAGUCCGCAGCGAUACUGACGUGCAAAUCGUUCGUCAGACUUGGGUAUAGGGGCGAAAGACCAAUCGAACCGUCUAGUAGCUGGUUCCCCC